UGUCUCAUUGCUAACCUGUAAGCGUUUCUUUUUUUGUGUUGCGCAGAAUAAAUUCGGCAUUAAACAACUUGGGAGUGUAGUGAACUGCACAGAAUGUCUGAUGUCAUGUUUAAGAUAUGGAAGAAAACCAAACAGGUGACAUGUCCUGAAUAAAUAAACAAUGAACCAGAAUGAACAGGGCUCAAAUCUCCACAGAGUGACCAAAGAGCUGAACCGGCCAAUCAGAUGAUGUGUCCACCCUUCUGUCAAUGACAAGUGUUGCCACCUGCAUACAAAUGUGUUCUUCCUCCUCCCUGCUGUUUCCCUCAUUAUCAAGCACACCAGCUUCAUUUACAUCUUUUUUUCCUGCCCUGCACACAUCUGUCGUCUCCUACAUGCUAGUUCCCUAUCCCUCAGGACGUAUCCUACCACCCAGGUCAAUGGAAUAAGAGAGAAUAGCCUGGCAACUACAAGGUUAAAAGAACCGUGUCC
RNAcentral lists this long non-coding RNA (471 nucleotides) under Danio rerio (zebrafish). RNAcentral's name for it is "lncRNA (ENSDARG00000117467.1)". Lineage: Eukaryota; Metazoa; Chordata; Actinopteri; Cypriniformes; Danionidae. The record is from RNAcentral.